GCCUGGAUAGCUCAGCUGGUUAGAGCGUGGUGCCGAUAAUGCCAUAGUUGCAGGUUUGAUCCCCGUAAAAGACA
Podarcis lilfordi (Lilford's wall lizard) is the source of this 74-nucleotide non-coding RNA. The record is from the annotation of a GenBank genome assembly. NCBI's taxonomy places the organism in Eukaryota, Metazoa, Chordata, Lepidosauria, Squamata, Lacertidae.